CGACGCUCGCACACCACAUGAAGAACAAGCAACCAACCACGGUGUUUGCCUCACUUUUUGCCUACCACCACUUUCUCAUUCCCAUGCGUAGCCGCCAGCCGCCAUCUGGCGGCGUCGAAGAUCAUGCCGACGUCGCCGCUUCUACAGUUCUCGGCUCUUCGGCGUCAUCUUCGCCAGCAGCGGCGGCGGCGUCGUUGCUGCAGGACGAGGUAUUACCCCGUUUGCGAAAGGAGUCUGGCCCAAGCAAUGCAGCGAUAUGCGAUGCUUACGCGACGAGGCUUCGACAGGAAGCGACAGAAGAGGAGCGGCGCCGCGGGCCGCACUGGCGUGCGCGCUGCUCCCCCAGCAUCCUCGUUGCCCUGCUCAUCUGGGCAACGAUCGCCCUUGUUGUGUACAUGAAGGUGGACAACUCUCGUUUGCGUCCCGGUGCCGCGCCCGACACCACUUCUGUUGAGACGCCGCUUUCGCAACUCCCUGAAAGCUGUCGCGGUCAUUACUGUCUGCGGGAGGGCGGAAAGGAGCCCUUUGGAGCGGUCCUCGGAGCCCACGAUGGCGUCUUCGCCUACAGUAACUGCAACAGCGACACCUGCACCUCUUUACUAAAGUACCAGAUGGCGAUUCCGCUCCCACCAGGAGCUCGGACGGCUCUGGACGCCCCACACGCGACGACUCGCCUCAUGACAACAGGGAUGAAGUGGCAGUGCGUGGAAUUCGCUCGUCGGUACUGGAUGCUGCGCGGCAAGCCGACCCCCGCGUUCUUCGGCCCUGUGGUAGGCGCCGCAGAUAUUUGGGACACUCUCACCCACGUUACCUUCCUCGACAACGCGACUACGGCUCCGCUGCUGAAGUUUAAGAAUGGCGCGAGGCUCGGCUACGGCGGCAGCGCACCCCGCGUCGGAGACCUGCUCAUCUACCCUCGCGAUGCCGAGGGUUUUUUCUCCUACGGCCAUGUCGCCGUGGUGGUGAGGGUGGAGAUGACCACGAAGGCCGAGACAGACGACUCCCACAUGGACGCUGCAGUCACAUCGUCAAAGCCGCGUCAGCGGCACGGCCUCGUGUAUCUAGCGGAGCAAAACUGGGACAGCGCGACUUGGCCGAAUCCAUACCACAACUACUCACGUUCACUGCCUCUGGUGGUGCUUGAAUCAGCGGAGGGGCUGCCUCUGCAGUACACGAUCCAGGAUUCACUCCAUGGCAUCCAGGGCUGGGUACGCUACGAUGACGAGCCAUAGGGUUGACUGUGCUUGUGUGUGUGUGUGCGUAUAUAUAUUUAGGUGUGUGUUUGAGUCUCUGUUGAUGGGUGAUAUGCUAAAUCUUGUCUUUUCUCGCUGUGGGCAAGAUGGAAGCUGGCAGGCGCUAGGGCGAUUUGUGCGUUUGCACCCGCCUCCCCUCUCCCCCUAUCCCUCCCCUUUUCCCUUCUUGCAAUCUUCGGGCUCCUUACCCGUCUCCUCGUCGUUUUCGAGCCCAUCGCUGCGGGCAUUGAGGCCCGAGAACGGAUGCCCUCCACCCUUUCUCCUCCUAGCGAAAAAAAAAAUAAAAGGCACGACUGGCAGAACGUACCAACAUCAAAACUGCCAUGGCAUCCAUGGGUGCGGCUGCCUUGGCAAGACGUGCUACACGCGCCUCUCUACGCAGCUGAAGCAGCGUGAAGGCAUCCAAGCAACCUCCCCGAUUUCGGCUCCUUUCUGUGUGCGCCUGAUGAGAGGGGACACCUUAACGCAACAUCAGAGUUCAGUGCGCCCCCCACUCUCUUAAGGAAAGCCAGGCAGCCCCCCCCCCCCACACAAUCUUUCUCUAUCCCUGUGCCACAAUACGGAACCGCCUUUGGUGGUGCCAG
This 1837-nucleotide unclassified non-coding RNA is filed under the name Leishmania donovani. RNAcentral's name for it is "gene:LdHU3.33.4180(CDS-product:cysteine_peptidase _Clan_CA_family_C51_putative)". Lineage: Eukaryota; Euglenozoa; Kinetoplastea; Trypanosomatida; Trypanosomatidae. The record is from RNAcentral.